UUGUAGUCUUGAGGAAACAUGACAUCCGAUUUGGACAAAAGCGGUUUUUACAAAAAACAGACGCGACCAUAUGGUUCUGGUAUCAAGAGUUAUACAGAUAAGUAAAUCUUCAUACACCACAGUGUUUGCUAUGCGCAGCUCGGGACGCGCACCUCUGAUAUUGAUUUUAUCUAAAAUGAGUAGAAGCGCAUCAUGGUUUCAGCCUUUUCGAUCCUGGACGCAGAGCGUGACGCCACUGCAGCCUGAAUAUAAUAUGAAGAUUUAAGCCUCGUGUCUUGAAGAUGAUGACCUCAUUAAAUGUAUUUAAAAGCGCACAAACCAAUGUCGUAAAAUUCACAGAUGAAUCGUGAUGAACCGUGAAAGAAAAAUCACAAAGGUGUCGCAUAAUGUGAAUACAAUGCCGGCUGAUUAUCCUCUUGAGCAUUGGGAGAGCAACUGAAUAGAAAAUGCCAACAAAACACUGAAGCGAACUACGAUUUUUUUAUUUACCCUUACUGUUUUCUAGUAUUAUGAAAUUGAAACUUUAUAGUGCUGUGCCAGUUUUGGCUUAAAAUUGAAUUACUUUCAUGGGUGCAGUAAUGGUAAAGCAAAUAAGAUACCAUUGGACGCGCUUUCUUAACAGUAAUAUGUAAAGGAGCGUGUACCUGGACGUCUUUGGACGAAACUGAGUGGAAAACUGGAUGGAAAUAAUGCAAAUAAUUGAGUGCUGCGCUGUGUCCGGCUACAAAGAAUAAAACAGCCCCAACUCAUUCCGCGGGCGUCGUAAAAAGCGACUGAGGAAUUUAAGCCAGAUUCGAUCCUAAAAUCCACAACCUAAGCACAAUAUACAGUUAAUGACUUGAAAACUAUAAUUAUUGUAUGUCUCACUGGACGUACAAGAGCCUAGGUCAUAAUUCUUUGUAUCUUAGCCUUGAGACGAUUGAAUUGUAGACGUGGUUGCAGACGCAAUGGAAUGACGCACAUUGGUAUUUUUUUCACGGGCACUAUGAAGAAGCAUUCUCCGAGAACCAUUCACAAUGUAACAAAUCUCAGAUGUUGUACCAAGAACGAAAAUCUGCCCGUGUUUAGUAUGAGGUCAAUGUAUGUAGAUUGUUACUAUGUAUUAUUUGUGAAAGAAUAUUGUUGUCGGUUUCAAAUAGUUUAACAAAAUUAUUUUCCUUGCAAAUUUCCGAUUUUAGUUGUUUAGUUAUAUGACGCGCGCGUUAUAUAAUUUUAGUGAAGUUUGAUUUCGUUUUAGCCUCUACGAGUAUCUGAAUCACUAUUCGUACAAUUCAAGGAGAACGCGAAAUGUACUCACGGCGUGACAUUGUUAAUGUUUACGUAAUUUUAAUGGUGUUGAUGUUACAAAUGAAAACAUUACGUUAGCUUUGAUGUUACUGUGUUCUUCUUGAUAUUAUUCAUACUAUUUUAAAUUUACAACGCUCUUUCCUUCGGUCUGUAUCCGACUUAAUUUUUUUUUUCUCAAGCGUUGUCGUUUGAUUUGGACUUUCUACAUUACAAAUGUUACUUCGUGUUUGUAUUUUAAGCUCCUUUAGUUAGGGGUGUAAGUGGCUCUACCUAGAUCUUCUGAGUCAAAGUCAACCUCUCCUGCUCGCGGCGCACCCUGCCGAUCAACGAACGAGGCUCUGGCGGAGACGUGGUCGCGUGUUGGUACGAGCACAGAUGCUAGACAGAUAUAAGCCGACAAGAUUAUGUAAUUCCAACAUUGGCAACAUCUGGAUCGCGACCAUGUUACAAACUGUUUACACACAAUAUUGUCUAUGUUUUUUGUUUGUUUCCCUCUAUUUAAAAUUAACAUUUUCUUCUGCAUUUAAUCUCGUAACGACAUGCAAAAGUAAUUUAAUCGAUCAAGGUGUAUUAAGGAUUUCAAUUAUAGGCACAGAUAUAUUAGAAAAGUGUGCGUUUCAAAUACUCAAUAGUUGCUAAGUAUUCAUGAAUAUUACCGCUUAUAAAUUUAAUCGAACGUAUUUAAUCUUGGUAUUGAAGUAGUAUUUCAUAGAAUUAGGAAUUAAUAUAUUCAGUGAAACAUUCUCAAAUCUAUUCAAGUUAUCUUGAAUUGAAUUCGAUGUGCGCGUGUGUUUUAAUCUAAUACUAAUAAAAAUGAUGUGUAGUGGU
This is a long non-coding RNA of Bombyx mori (domestic silkworm), 2115 nucleotides long. RefSeq lists it as uncharacterized. The record is from RefSeq and is a predicted model, not a curated record. The transcript has 4 exons. Lineage: Eukaryota; Metazoa; Arthropoda; Insecta; Lepidoptera; Bombycidae.